This 457-nucleotide ribosomal RNA is filed under the name uncultured bacterium. RNAcentral describes it as "bacterial SSU rRNA". It matches the Rfam family "Bacterial small subunit ribosomal RNA", at positions 923 to 1379 of the family's 1533-position model. The record is from RNAcentral.
GCACAAGCGGUGGAGCAUGUGGUUCAAUUCGAAGCAACGCGCAGAACCUUACCAGCUCUUGACAUGCCACGACGGUUUCCAGAGAUGGAUUCCUCCCCGCAAGGGGCGUGGACACAGGUGCUGCAUGGCUGUCGUCAGCUCGUGUCGUGAGAUGUUGGGUUAAGUCCCGCAACGAGCGCAACCCUCGCCCUUAGUUGCCAUCAUUCAGUUGGGCACUCUAAGGGGACUGCCGGUGAUAAGCCGCGAGGAAGGUGGGGAUGACGUCAAGUCCUCAUGGCCCUUACGGGCUGGGCUACACACGUGCUACAAUGGCGGUGACAAUGGGAUGCAAUGGAGCAAUCCUGCGCAAAUCUCAAAAAGCCGUCUCAGUUCGGAUUGUGCUCUGCAACUCGAGCACAUGAAGUUGGAAUCGCUAGUAAUCGCAGAUCAGCACGCUGCGGUGAAUACGUUCCCGGGC